GUUGAAGAACGCAGUGAAAUGCGAUAAGUAAUGUGAAUUGCAGAAUUCAGUGAAUCAUCGAAUCUUUGAACGCACAUUGCGCCCGCCAGUAUUCUGGCGGGCAUGCCUGUUCGAGCGUCAUUUCAACCCUCAAGCCCCCGGGCUUGGUGUUGGGGAUCGGCGUGCCCUCGCGGCGCGCCGUCCCCUAAAUCUAGUGGCGGUCUCGCUGUAGCUUCCUCUGCGUAGUAGCAACACUCGCACUGGAUCGCAGCGCGGCCACGCCGUUAAACCCCCCACUUCUGAAAGUUUGACCUCGGAUCAGGUAGGAAUACCCGCUGAACUUAAGCAUAUCAAUAAGCGGAGGA
RNAcentral lists this unclassified non-coding RNA (344 nucleotides) under soil metagenome. Its description in RNAcentral is "partial contains 5.8S ribosomal RNA, internal transcribed spacer 2, and large subunit ribosomal RNA". The stretch from base 1 to 120 matches the Rfam family "5.8S ribosomal RNA", at positions 35 to 154 of the family's 154-position model. The record is from RNAcentral.